GCUUGGGGUACUGACCUUUGCCUCUACC
This 28-nucleotide small RNA is filed under the name Bombyx mori (domestic silkworm). RNAcentral's name for it is "ovarian small RNA-17160". The record is from RNAcentral. Lineage: Eukaryota; Metazoa; Arthropoda; Insecta; Lepidoptera; Bombycidae.